This 446-nucleotide ribosomal RNA is filed under the name uncultured bacterium. RNAcentral describes it as "partial 16S ribosomal RNA". It matches the Rfam family "Bacterial small subunit ribosomal RNA", at positions 338 to 795 of the family's 1533-position model. The record is from RNAcentral.
CCUACGGGAGGCAGCAGUCGAGAAUCAUUCACAAUGGGGGAAACCCUGAUGCUGCGACGCCGCGUGGGGGAAUGAAGUUCUUCGGUUUUUAAACCCUGUUCAUGUGGGAGCAAAUUAAAAAUAUAGUACCACAAGAGGAAGAGACGGCUAACUCUGUGCAAGCAGCCGCGGUAAUACAGAGGUCGCAAGGGUUUUUCGGAAUGACUGGGCGUAAAGCGUGCGUAGGCGGUUUCGUAAGUCGUGGGUGAAAGGCGCGGGCUCAACCCGCGGACGGCACAUGAUACUGGGAGACUAGAGUAAUGGAGGGGGAAGCGGAAUUCUAGGUGUAGCAGUGAAAUGCGUAGAUAUCGAGAGGAACAUUAGUGGCGAAGGCGGGUUCCUGGACAUUAACUGACGCUGAGGCACGAAGGCCAGGGGAGUGAAAGGGAUUAGAUACCCGUGUAGUC